RNAcentral lists this ribosomal RNA (481 nucleotides) under uncultured bacterium. RNAcentral's name for it is "bacterial SSU rRNA". It matches the Rfam family "Bacterial small subunit ribosomal RNA", at positions 28 to 526 of the family's 1533-position model. The record is from RNAcentral.
GACGAACGCUGGCGGCGUGCCUAACACAUGCAAGUCGAACGAGGUCCAUCCUUCGGGAGAAGACCUAGUGGCGAACGGGUGAGUAACACGUGAGAAACCUGCCCCGAAGACCGGGAUAACCCUCCGAAAGGAGAGCUAAUACCGGAUGCCCCCACCGAGCCGCAUGGCUUGGUGAGGAAAUGGAUUCCGCUUCGGGAGGGUCUCGCGGCCUAUCAGCUAGUUGGUGGGGUAACGGCCCACCAAGGCAUCGACGGGUAGCUGGUCUGAGAGGACGAUCAGCCACACUGGGACUGAGACACGGCCCAGACUCCUACGGGAGGCAGCAGUGGGGAAUCUUGCGCAAUGGGCGAAAGCCUGACGCAGCAACGCCGCGUGGGGGAUGAAGGCUCUCGGGUUGUAAACCCCUUUCAGCAGGGACGAAAUCAGACGGUACCUGCAGAAGAAGCUCCGGCUAACUACGUGCCAGCCGCCGCGGUAACAC